Oncorhynchus gorbuscha (pink salmon) is the source of this 917-nucleotide long non-coding RNA. RefSeq lists it as uncharacterized. The transcript is spliced from 2 exons. The record is from RefSeq and is a predicted model, not a curated record. Lineage: Eukaryota; Metazoa; Chordata; Actinopteri; Salmoniformes; Salmonidae.
CAGGAUGCACCUGAGCUCAAUUUCGAGUCUCAUCGCAAAGGGACUGAAUACUUAUGUAAAUAAAGGUAUUUCUGUUUUUUAUAGAUUUGCAAAAAUGUAUCUAAACCUGUUUUCUCUCUGUCAUCAUGGGCUUUUGUUUAAGCUUGGUGACGAUUAUUAUUUAUUUUUAAAAUCCAUUUUAGAAUGAGGCUGAAUAAUACUUUCUGAAAGCACUGAAUACCUGGAUAACCAGACGUCUAAGGUCUAAGGUCACCUGGAUAACCAGACGUCUAAGGUCACCUGGAUAACCAGACGUCUAAGGUCACCUGGAUAACCAGACGUCUAAGGUCUAGACUCGCUAGUUAAUCAGUUAUAUGAAUGGAUCAGUUAAGUACCACGGAGAGAUGAAGAGGCUCCUAGUAGUACUAGUACUAGUGCUAGUAGUACUAGUUGUAGCUGGGGUGUAGAGCCCUCAGUUGUCCAUCCCUACUAGGGUUGCCAAACUCCAGGAACUUGUUUUUCCAGACAUCCUGGUUGGAGGAUUCACAGAAUCUGAAGAGAAUAAGAAGGAAAUCUGGAGCCCUCCAACCAGGAUUUCUGGAAAACCAGGCAAUUUAUUGAAAGUUCCUGGAGUUUUGCAACCCUUUCCCUACUCUAAGCAGACAUGGCGUGUACUCUACAUCAUCGGUACUUGGUCUCUAAAUCCAUGAACUGAGGGAAGACUAAGAAUUCCAUUCUUAUUGUGUUUCAUACACAGUUUAUAUUUGUUGUAUUUGAGUCGUAUGUCUUCAUCUGCACAAUGUGUUUAUUGUUGUAUUUUUCGGUCGUAUGUCUUCAUCUGCACAAUGUGUUUAUUGUUGUAUUUGAGUCGUAUGUCUUCAUGUGCACAAUGUGUUUAUUUGGUUUUAUUGGUCCAAACUAAAUAUACUGUAAGUCUA